AGAGGUCCCAAGCGUUGUUCGGAUUCACUGGGCGUAAAGGGUGCGUAGGUGGUUGCGCAAGUCUGAUGUGAAAUCUCCGGGCUCAACCUGGAAAUGGCAUUGGAAACUGCGUGGCUAGAGGGUUGGAGGGGGGACUGGAAUACUUGGUGUAGCAGUGAAAUGCGUAGAUAUCAAGUGGAACACCAGUGGCGAAGGCGAGUCCCUGGACAACACCUGACACUGAGGCACGAAAGCUAGGGGAGCAAACAGGAUUAGAUACCCUGGUAGUCCUAGCCGUAAACGGUGCUUGCUUGCUGUAAAAGGAAUCGACCCCUUUUGUGGCGAAGCCAACGCGAUAAGCAAGCCGCCUGGGAAGUACGGUCGCAAGAUUA
RNAcentral lists this ribosomal RNA (371 nucleotides) under uncultured bacterium. RNAcentral's name for it is "bacterial SSU rRNA". It matches the Rfam family "Bacterial small subunit ribosomal RNA", at positions 527 to 896 of the family's 1533-position model. The record is from RNAcentral.